RNAcentral lists this ribosomal RNA (253 nucleotides) under uncultured bacterium. RNAcentral's name for it is "partial 16S ribosomal RNA". It matches the Rfam family "Bacterial small subunit ribosomal RNA", at positions 524 to 776 of the family's 1533-position model. The record is from RNAcentral.
UACGGAGGGUGCAAACGUUGCUCGGAAUCAUUGGGCGUAAAGCGCACGUAGGCGGCUUCUUAAGUCGGGUGUGAAAGCCCUCGGCUCAACCGAGGAAGUGCAUUCGAAACUGGGGGGCUUGAAUACUGGAGAGGAUGGCGGAAUUCCCGGUGUAGAGGUGAAAUUCGUAGAUAUCGGGAGGAACACCAGUGGCGAAGGCGGCGACCUGGGCCAAUACUGACGCUGAGGUGCGAAAGCAUGGGGAGCGAACAGG